Long non-coding RNA from Saccostrea cuccullata (small rock oyster), 383 nucleotides. RefSeq lists it as uncharacterized. The transcript has 3 exons. Lineage: Eukaryota; Metazoa; Mollusca; Bivalvia; Ostreida; Ostreidae. The record is from RefSeq and is a predicted model, not a curated record.
AGCAGUUUGGAUUCACACGGUAUCACCACAAUAAAUAUACUAGGAGACAAAACUUCUAAGACAACAAAGGGAAUACAUGACGAAUCGAACCUUCCAUUUCCAGUUUAUGUUAUAAUUAUAAUACCCUGUAUGUGUGUAGCAGAAGUAGGCAUCAUUCUUAUUAUUGUGAUUAAAUGCCUUAUAAAGAGAAGACGUGAAGGUUCACCGAGGAACAUCCAUGAACAAGAAGCGUUAAAAGCCAAUGAUUCCUCACUUGCAAUUGGAAGAAAUGAAAACAAAAAAACUUAUUUGAGAGAAGCAUUAUUGUGCUGAUAAAAAAACUAUCUUGAAAAUAAUAAGGUCCUUAUUGACUUCAUUACUCCGAAAUUUUAAAGACAAUUUGA